Molecule: unclassified non-coding RNA, 243 nt
Filed under: uncultured Sordariales
Lineage: Eukaryota; Fungi; Ascomycota; Sordariomycetes; Sordariales
Description: sequence contains 5.8S rRNA gene, ITS2, 28S rRNA gene
Rfam family: 5.8S ribosomal RNA (bases 1-52)
Source: RNAcentral
AACGCACAUUGCGCCCGCCAGUAUUCUGGCGGGCAUGCCUGUUCGAGCGUCAUUUCAACCAUCAGGCCCUGUCCAGCCUGUGUUGGGGCCCUGCGGCUGCCGCAGCCCCCUAAAUGUAGUGGCGGGCUCGCUGUUACCCCGAGCGCAGUAGCGUAUCUCGCUCUGGGCGUAGCGGCGGGUGCUAGCCGUGAAACACUCACUAAGGUUGACCUCGGAUCAGGUAGGAAUACCCGCUGAACUUAA